This 253-nucleotide ribosomal RNA is filed under the name uncultured bacterium. RNAcentral's name for it is "partial 16S ribosomal RNA". It matches the Rfam family "Bacterial small subunit ribosomal RNA", at positions 524 to 776 of the family's 1533-position model. The record is from RNAcentral.
GACGUAGGGGACGAGCGUUGUCCGGAUUCAUUGGGCGUAAAGAGCGCGUAGGCGGCCGCGCAAGUCGGAUGUGAAAACCCGGGGCUCAACCCCGGGCCUGCAUCCGAUACUGCGUGGCUAGAGGUAGGUAGGGGAGAUCGGAAUUCCUGGUGUAGCGGUGAAAUGCGCAGAUAUCAGGAGGAACACCGGUGGCGAAGGCGGAUCUCUGGGCCUUACCUGACGCUCAGGCGCGAAAGCUAGGGGAGCGAACAGG